This 689-nucleotide long non-coding RNA is filed under the name Elaeis guineensis (African oil palm). RNAcentral's name for it is "long non-coding RNA (EGUI_LNC039957)". Lineage: Eukaryota; Viridiplantae; Streptophyta; Magnoliopsida; Arecales; Arecaceae. The record is from RNAcentral.
UACGUUUUCCAAUAGUAUUCACCACUGGUACUACAUUAGCUGGUUGGGGUGCGACCGUAGCCGUCACUGUAGGUGUCACUGCCGGCGGUACAAUAUAAAAUUGCUGUAUUGCCUGCACAGUAGUAGUCAAGAUUUGAACUUGCUAGAACAAUAAUUGAAACUAUUUCGCACUGACAGUCGCCAUCUAUGGGAGAGUUGGUUGUUGGACUUUCGACUGCGGCUGCGUCGGAACUUGCUCGACCGUCACAUUUUCCACUGACUGAGAAGUGGUAGUGGUAUCGGAGCUUUGGAUGGACCCUCUUCACGGUGCCAUAAUCAUCACUUGGUGCUCCUCAAAGUUGGAUCAGGGCCCUUCCUCUAGCAUUAAUCUGUUGGUGCUGAAAUCUGGACCAUAGUUAAAAACUGCUGGAGUGGUGGUGCAUCCUCCUGAAAAAAAUCUGUAAGCAAGUCCUGAUCAAAGUUGGCUCCGAUGGGGAUCCUCCGACGCUCAAGUCAAAUCACAGAGAGACAGAAGAAGAGUGUAGAAGAUUAUGGUUACAUACCUUGGGAGGUCUCCUGUAGGUUCUUUUGUAGGUCAAAGCUGUGUAACCGUCUAAAGAGAUUAUGGGGCAAUUCAGGCGUGACGUGGUGAAACUCCUGAUCGAGAUUGAUGGGAUUAUUAUUGCACCUACCUUUCCAAUCCUGAGAUC